GACCACAUAAAAAAUAAAUAGCAUACGGGUGAAAAAAUUACGUAUUAAAGUUUUACGUAUGGGUGCGGAUACUUUAUAUCAAUAACCGACUCGGAUCAUAUUCGAAUCGGACCUUUUAAUGGGUAGGGUAUGGAAGAAUUUUCAAAUCCAGACCCGAAUUUGGAUCCGGACUUGGACCCACUGAGAUACUCAAUAGUAAAUAAAAAAUUUGACGUUGAGAGAUCAAUUUCGAAAGACAUAUAGAUAAAGGGUCUCUCUGUAUAUUUGCAUCUUAGUGAAACUCUAGUGGCUCUGUUUACUUUUUUUUAUUUUUUUAUUUUACUUAUUAUUUUUUUAACUCUAAUCUUUUUAUUUACUGUUUGAAUCUUUCUUUUCAAGAAAUUUUAUUCG
RNAcentral lists this long non-coding RNA (390 nucleotides) under Ananas comosus (pineapple). RNAcentral's name for it is "long non-coding RNA (ACOM_LNC008705)". The record is from RNAcentral. Lineage: Eukaryota; Viridiplantae; Streptophyta; Magnoliopsida; Poales; Bromeliaceae.